RNAcentral lists this long non-coding RNA (737 nucleotides) under Callithrix jacchus (white-tufted-ear marmoset). RNAcentral describes it as "lncRNA (ENSCJAG00000076463.1)". Lineage: Eukaryota; Metazoa; Chordata; Mammalia; Primates; Cebidae. The record is from RNAcentral.
UGGAAUUUUGAACUGCUAGGAAUCAAAAUGAGAAAGCUCAUGUUGCCACCAGCCAGUCAGAAGUGAAGUGGAACUGGAAAGAACCGUGUCGAAGAUUUGAGUCCCUGGAAGGAGGUCCCUGCUCUUCUGUUUUUUAACAGCAAAAGUAGGCAAUGGAGGAAUUAGAGAAGGCAAAUGAAGGGCAAAGGCUCCCAUGCCUUGAUGGCAACAAAAGCUUGGUCACAGUUUGACUGUCUUGACACUGCAGGAAUUUCACUGCUGCAAAUGGAAAAGAAUGAAACAUAGAAUGCCAAUCAAAGGAGUGUGUUUCAUUCAUAAGAAACUCCUUUAAUUUUGCUAUGGCACGCCAACCAUUCAUAAGGUGGGAAAUAUGGAGAAUAAGUAAGUGGAAAGAUACUUUCUGGCAUCUUCCUUUGCUUCCUUUACUAGUCUCAUGAUGAAUACGAUUAUGGAUUUCUAUUUCUAAAAAUUAUUAAUAGAUCAGUAAUGUGUGCAAGAUAAUUUUUGGAAUAAAUACAAACUAUUCGAACUAUCACUUAAUUUACACUGACAGAUUCUCACCUAUAUCAGAUGCCUAACAAAUCAAAAAUAUUUAUGUGAUUUCUGUACUAUUCCUUUUAUGUAAAUGGAAGGAAAUGUAAAAGGUGUGCAUAUGUUUUAGCUUCUACAUCAAAUAGAAACACUGGGACUGUGUGCACAAUCAUUUGGUAUUUAUCGGAAGAAUUUAAAAUCUGACU